This 29-nucleotide non-coding RNA is filed under the name Rattus norvegicus (Norway rat). Lineage: Eukaryota; Metazoa; Chordata; Mammalia; Rodentia; Muridae. The record is from RNAcentral.
UCCCAGCCAUGAACAGAUGGACGGCAGGA